UUGAAAGCAUCCACCAUUGAUACAAUUUAAAGAGACAUUACUACCAAUCAUCAAAAUUUCUUUGUUUUCUUUCUUAAUAGAGUUACGUGAAUUCUUGCUCCUCUUUCUUGGAAUUUCACUCUUCCCUAUUAAUCUAAUACCCAAUAAAAUUUCUUUUUCACGUUUUCACGCCCACCUUUCAUGUGCUAACACUUUUUAAUGUUUCCAUAUCUCUUUCUUGACGGUGCUCACAAAUUGGUCAUCAAAAUAUUUAUUUUAAUUCAAGAAAUUUUCUCCAUCGUUAAACAAAAUCUCUUUAUUAAUUAAAGUUGAUUUCUCGAUUGGCAAGGAUUUUAGAUUCGGGGAGAACAUAUGUAUGUCUACAAUGUAUGAAUCAACACUUUAUUUGUGUAUUCCAUUCUAUCUAUAUAUCAAAAAGUUUUAUAUUUUUUAUUUUUACAUUGUAUUUCAAUCUCAAUUAGUAUACCGACAUGUUUGUAUUUUCUUCUUAAUUUUAUUUUGUUCUUAAUUGUAUUUGUCCUAACUGUAUGCUAACAACUUUAUAUUUUAUUGGGUAUCCAUUCUGUAUUUCAAUCUCAAUUUCUAUGUGAACAAGUUUGUAUUUCUCUUUGAUUUUGUAUUCUACCUAAUUGUAUACUAACAGGUUUUGUA
Molecule: long non-coding RNA, 651 nt
Organism: Solanum lycopersicum (tomato)
Lineage: Eukaryota; Viridiplantae; Streptophyta; Magnoliopsida; Solanales; Solanaceae
Source: RefSeq, a predicted model, not a curated record